GUAGAAUGUGUGGUUUGGGGUAAAGUAGGUAGAAUGUGUGGUUUGUGGUAAAGUAGGUAGAAUGUGUGGUUUGGGGUAAAGUAGGUAGAAUGUGUGGUUUGGGGUAAAGUAGGUAGAAUGCGUGGUUUGGGGUAAAGUAGGUAGAAUGUGUGGUUUGGGGUAAAGAAGGUAGAAUGUGUGGUUUGGGGUAAAGAAGGUAGAAUGUGUGGUUUGUGGUAAAGUAGGAAGAAUGUGUGGUUUGGGGUAAAGAAGGUAGAAUGUGUGGUUUGUGGUAAAGAAGGUAGAAUGUGUGGUUUGGGGUAAAGAAGGUAGAAUGUGUGGUUUGUGGUAAAGAAGGUAGAAUGUGUGGUUUGUGGUAAAGUAGGUAGAAUGUGUGGUUUGUGGUAAAGUAGGUAGAAUGUGUGUUUGUGGUAAAGUAGGUAGAAUGUGUGGUUUGGGUAAAGUAGGUAGAAUGUGUGGUUUGGGUAAAAAUGGUAGAAUGUGUGGUUUGCGGUAAAGAAGGUAGAAUGUGUGCUUUGGGUAAAAAUGGUAGAAUGUGUGGUUUGUGGUAAAGUAGGUAGAAUCUGUGGUUUGGGGUAAAGUACGUAGAAUGUGUGGUUUGGGGUAAAGUACGUAGAAUGUGUGGUUUGGGGUAAAGUAGGUAGAAUGUGUGGUUUGUGGUAAAGAAGGUAGAAUGUGUGGUUUGGGGUAAAGAAGGUAGAAUGUGUGGUUUGGGGUAAAGUAGGUAGAAUGUGUGGUUUGGGGUAAAGUAGGUAGAAUGUGUGGUUUGGGUUAAAGUAGGUAGAAUACGUGGUUUGGGGUAAAGAAGGUAGAAUGUGUGGUUUGGGGUAAAGAAGGUAGAAUGUGUGGUUUGUGGUAAAGAAGGUAGAAUGUGUGGUUUGGGGUAAAGAAGGUAGAAUGUGUGGUUUGGGGUAAAGUAGGUAGAAUGUGUGGUUUGGGGUAAAGUAGGUAGAAUGUGUGGUUUAGGGUAAAGUAGGUAGAAUGUGUGGUUUGGGUUAAAGUAGGUGAAUGUGUGGUUUGGGUUAAAGUAGGUUGAAUGUGUGGUUUGUGGUAAAGAAGGUACAAUGUGUGGUUUGGGGUAAAGUAGGUAGAAUGUGUGGUUUGGGUUAAAGUAGGUAGAAUACGUGGUUUGGGUUAAAGUAGGUAGAAUACGUGGUUUGGGGUAAAGAAGGUAGAGUGUGUGGUUUGGGGUAAAGAAGGUAGAAUGUGUGGUUUGUGGUAAAGAAGGUAGAAUGUGUGGUUUAGGGUAAAGAAGGUAGAAUGUGUGGUUUGGGGUAAAGAAGGUAGAAUGUGUGGUUUGUGGUAAAGAAGGUAGAAUGUGUGGUUUUGGGUAAAGAAGGUAGAAUGUGUGGUUUGUGGUAAAGUAGGUAGAAUGUGUGGUUUGGGGUAAAGAAGGUAGAAUGUGUGGUUUGUGGUAAAGAAGGUAGAAUGUGUGGUUUUGGGUAAAGAAGGUAGAAUGUGUGGUUUGUGGUAAAGUAGGUAGAAUGUGUGGUUUUGGGUAAAGAAGGUAGAAUGUGUGGUUUGUGGUAAAGUAGGUAGAAUGUGUGGUUUGGGGUAAAGAAGGUAGAAUGUGUGGUUUGUGGUAAAGUAGGUAGAAUGUGUGGUUUGUGGUAAAGAAGGUAGAAUGCGUGGUUUGGG
This 1638-nucleotide long non-coding RNA is filed under the name Salmo salar (Atlantic salmon). RNAcentral's name for it is "lncRNA (ENSSSAG00000089639.1)". The record is from RNAcentral. Lineage: Eukaryota; Metazoa; Chordata; Actinopteri; Salmoniformes; Salmonidae.